GAUGAACGCUGGCGGCGUGCCUAAUACAUGCAAGUCGAGCGAACGGACGAGAAGCUUGCUUCUCUGAUGUUAGCGGCGGACGGGUGAGUAACACGUGGAUAACCUACCUAUAAGACUGGGAUAACUUCGGGAAACCGUAGCUAAUACCGGAUCAUAUUUUGAACCGCAUGGUUCAAAAGUGCAUGACGGUCUUGCUGUCACUUAUAGCUGGAUCCGCGCUGCAUUAGCUAGUUGGUAAGGUAACGGCUUACCAAGGCAACGAUGCAUAGCCGACCUGAGAGGGUGAUCAGCCACACUGGAACUGAGACACGGUCCAGACUCCUACGGGAGGCAGCAGUAGGGAAUCUUCCGCAAUGGGCGAAAGCCUGACGGAGCAACGCCGCGUGAGUGAAGAAGGUCUUCGGAUCGUAAAACUCUGUUAUUAGGGAAGAACAUAUGUGUAAGUAACUGUGCACAUCUUGACGGUACCUAAUCAGAAAGCCACGGCUAACUACGUG
This 497-nucleotide ribosomal RNA is filed under the name uncultured bacterium. Its description in RNAcentral is "partial 16S ribosomal RNA". It matches the Rfam family "Bacterial small subunit ribosomal RNA", at positions 28 to 507 of the family's 1533-position model. The record is from RNAcentral.